GAUGAACGCUGGCGGCGUGCCUAAUACAUGCAAGUCGAGCGAACGGACGAGAAGCUUGCUUCUCUGAUGUUAGCGGCGGACGGGUGAGUAACACGUGGAUAACCUACCUAUAAGACUGGGAUAACUUCGGGAAACCGGAGCUAAUACCGGAUAAUAUUUUGAACCGCAUGGUUCAAAAGUGAAAGACGGUCUUGCUGUCACUUAUAGAUGGAUCCGCGCUGCAUUAGCUAGUUGGUAAGGUAACGGCUUACCAAGGCAACGAUGCAUAGCCGACCUGAGAGGGUGAUCGGCCACACUAGAACUGAGACACGGUCCAGACUCCUACGAGAGGCAGCAGUAGGGAAUCUUCCGCAAUGGGCGAAAGCCUGACGGAGCAACGCCGCGUGAGUGGUGAAGGUCUUCGGAUCGUAAAACUCUGUUAUUAGGGAAGAACAUAUGUGUAAGUAACUGUGCACAUCUUGACGGUACCUAAUCAGAAAGCCACGGCUAACUACGUG
RNAcentral lists this ribosomal RNA (497 nucleotides) under uncultured bacterium. RNAcentral's name for it is "partial 16S ribosomal RNA". It matches the Rfam family "Bacterial small subunit ribosomal RNA", at positions 28 to 507 of the family's 1533-position model. The record is from RNAcentral.